GGGGUGCUCGGGUGGCGAACGGGUGAGUAACACGUGAGUAACCUGCCCUUGACUUUGGGAUAACUUCAGGAAACUGGGGCUAAUACCGGAUAGGAGCUCCUGCUGCAUGGUGGGGGUUGGAAAGUUUCGGCGGUUGGGGAUGGACUCGCGGCUUAUCAGCUUGUUGGUGGGGUAGCGGCUUACCAAGGCUUUGACGGGUAGCCGGCCUGAGAGGGUGACCGGCCACAUUGGGACUGAGAUACGGCCCAG
RNAcentral lists this ribosomal RNA (249 nucleotides) under uncultured Actinomycetales bacterium. Its description in RNAcentral is "partial 16S ribosomal RNA". It matches the Rfam family "Bacterial small subunit ribosomal RNA", at positions 84 to 334 of the family's 1533-position model. Lineage: Bacteria; Bacillati; Actinomycetota; Actinomycetes; Actinomycetales. The record is from RNAcentral.